This 736-nucleotide ribosomal RNA is filed under the name Rothia mucilaginosa. RNAcentral describes it as "bacterial SSU rRNA". It matches the Rfam family "Bacterial small subunit ribosomal RNA", at positions 53 to 797 of the family's 1533-position model. Lineage: Bacteria; Bacillati; Actinomycetota; Actinomycetes; Micrococcales; Micrococcaceae. The record is from RNAcentral.
ACCAUGCAGUCGACGAUGAGCCUAGCUUGCUAGGUGGAUUAGUGGCGAACGGGUGAGUAAUACGUGAGUAACCUACCUUUAACUCUGGGAUAAGCCUGGGAAACUGGGUCUAAUACCGGAUACGACCAAUCUCCGCAUGGGGUGUUGGUGGAAAGCGUUAUGUAGUGGUUAUAGAUGGGCUCACGGCCUAUCAGCUUGUUGGUGAGGUAACGGCUCACCAAGGCGACGACGGGUAGCCGGCCUGAGAGGGUGACCGGCCACACUGGGACUGAGACACGGCCCAGACUCCUACGGGAGGCAGCAGUGGGGAAUAUUGCACAAUGGGCGCAAGCCUGAUGCAGCGACGCCGCGUGAGGGAUGACGGCCUUCGGGUUGUAAACCUCUGUUAGCAGGGAAGAAGAGAAAUUGACGGUACCUGCAGAGAAAGCGCCGGCUAACUACGUGCCAGCAGCCGCGGUAAUACGUAGGGCGCGAGCGUUGUCCGGAAUUAUUGGGCGUAAAGAGCUUGUAGGCGGUUUGUCGCGUCUGCUGUGAAAGGCCGGGGCUUAACCCCGUGUAUUGCAGUGGGUACGGGCAGACUAGAGUGCAGUAGGGGAGACUGGAACUCCUGGUGUAGCGGUGGAAUGCGCAGAUAUCAGGAAGAACACCGAUGGCGAAGGCAGGUCUCUGGGCUGUAACUGACGCUGAGAAGCGAAAGCAUGGGGAGCGAACAGGAUUAGAUACCCUGGGUAGUCCA